AUUACAUGGCCCAAUUAUGAAUAAUGCUCAUUUGGUCAUAAUAAUAUAAAUGCUGAAUACUGAUAAAACAAAAAAUUAUGAUGUGUCUUUAAUAGGAGGAUGUGAGGCGGAGAAAUAUGGAUGGCAGGUAGAAGGAGCUGUAAGAGAGCUAGAGCAUCAUCUUCCAUAGCAGUAGGUAGAUCCAUAAUAUAUAAAACUGAAAAAGAUGAGAAAAUAUGAAAAUAACAGUAUAAGUAUGUUAGUAUCAACAUAGAAACACAGAGAAAUAUGCCCAAAGAAUCCACUAAAAUAGUUAAAACGUGUUGGUCUAUAAUAUUUGCAAGGAGAGGAAACCAGGGGUCUGCUGUUUUUCGGGAUAUACCUUAUGUGACUUUUUAAACAAUGUACUUUGGGAAGAAGAUAGGGAUGAGAGGGGACAGGAGGAAGGUGAGCAAGGGAAUAACAUGGUCAGAUCUCCAUUUUAGCAAGAUCACCAUGGUCUGAUUUCCAAGUGUAGGUUGGAAGAGCUGAGAGGUAAAGUCAGUGAGGUCAGUUGAUAGGCCGUUAUAACAAGAAGAGUAAUGAUAAAGUUUAUGAAGAGGAGAAAACUGGAGAUGGGCGAUUGGGGCAGGAAGUCAAGCAGAGUGAACCAUGAGGGUGAGUAUUGGGCUAGAGAGUAACUCUCCCUCUUCAUUUUUCUCUCUUCUCUCUCCUUCUUCUCUUCACCCUUGCCCUGAUCAAAGCUAAGCUCUCUCUUCCAAAGAUUUCUGGCCCUUCCAACAGGGCUAGCCCAGGCCAACUAGUGAAUCUCACCUGCACCUCAACUGGCUUCUUUGCCGAAAACAUAUAUGUGAAAUGGCUCAAAAAUGGCAUAGAGCUUCCAGCCUUUCAGACCCAGGUCUUCCCGCAUGCAGAUGCUUCCUCCUACACCGUCAUCAGCACUGCUACAGUGACCCUUGGCUUCUCCUCACUCCACUCCCAGGUCACCUGCCAAGUGGCUCACAGUGAAUUGCAGAGUCCCCUCAGAGGGCACGUGAACAUCUCCCAAUUUCUCCAAGGUACCCCUGUGUGCAACUCCUUCCUGCUCCUUUGCUGGAACUUUCUGCCAUCUGUGUCCUUAGGAGGAGCCUUUCUUCCAGGAGGACUGGACUUAGAGGAGGACCUGCCAUGAUGUCUGUAGCUGCUCCCUCAGCUUCUCUUGCCUCAUCAGCCUUCUGAGACCUGAACAGCACUGGCCAUCCCUCCCUGUCUCCUGCAGCCACCAGAGGAAGGGAGCACCUAGACUGGAAAGGUCAACAGUGAGAGGGAGAUUCUCAUGCCUUACCCAGGAAUGAAUUUUCUGUGGCAAGUCUGACCUCAGAGUCCAUGAUACUGACCAGGAAACCCAGCAGAGGCAGGAUAGGCUCCAACCCUGAGGAAAAUAGAUGCCUGCAUUUCUGAUGGCUCCUUCCUGGCUCAUCAAGGAAAGCCCAUUGCUCUGCCAUGAAACCCAAGCUCUGCCAUGAAACCUCUACAGCCCCAUCAUUAAAACUGAGUUAAAUGAAACACUUAUGGCCAAUAAACAUAUGAAGAAAUGGCCAACCUCAUUAGUAAUCAGGAAAAGCCACGGCAAAACCACACUGAGAUGUCAUUUUGUCCCUGUUCAAAUAGCAAAAGUAAAGAAGCCACUGGAUCUUUUUUGCAUUGCUAGUGGGCACAUAAAUGGACACAGCUGUUUUGGGAAACAGAUUGGAAAAUUUUGUUGUGUUAAACACUCACAUACCCUAUAACCUGGCACUUCCACUCUCAGGUUACACUCAAAAGAAACUUGCACAUGUGCACCAGGAGAUAUGUACAAAUAUGUACAUGGAGACAUUGUUUAAAAUUAGCAAAACCUGAGAACAAUCCAAAUGCCCAUCUGCAGUACAAUGUGUGAUAAACUUAGUACAC
This 1908-nucleotide long non-coding RNA is filed under the name Homo sapiens (human). RNAcentral's name for it is "HSALNT0399157". The record is from RNAcentral. Lineage: Eukaryota; Metazoa; Chordata; Mammalia; Primates; Hominidae.